Molecule: ribosomal RNA, 498 nt
Filed under: uncultured bacterium
Lineage: Bacteria
Description: partial 16S ribosomal RNA
Rfam family: Bacterial small subunit ribosomal RNA
Source: RNAcentral
AUUGAACGCUGGCGGCAUGCCUUACACAUGCAAGUCGAACGGUAACAGGUCUUCGGAUGCUGACGAGUGGCGAACGGGUGAGUAAUACAUCGGAACGUGCCUAGUAGUGGGGGAUAACUACUCGAAAGAGUGGCUAAUACCGCAUGAGAUCUAAGGAUGAAAGCAGGGGAUCGCAAGACCUUGUGCCACUAGAGCGGCCGAUGGCAGAUUAGGUAGUUGGUGGGAUAAAGGCUUACCAAGCCGACGAUCUGUAGCUGGUCUGAGAGGACGAUCAGCCACACUGGGACUGAGACACGGCCCAGACUCCUACGGGAGGCAGCAGUGGGGAAUUUUGGACAAUGGGCGCAAGCCUGAUCCAGCAAUGCCGCGUGCAGGAUGAAGGCCUUCGGGUUGUAAACUGCUUUUGUACGGAACGAAAAGCCCUGGGUUAAUACCCUGGGGUCAUGACGGUACCGUAAGAAUAAGCACCGGCUAACUACGUGCCAGCAGCCGCCGUAA